This 29-nucleotide non-coding RNA is filed under the name Homo sapiens (human). The record is from RNAcentral. Lineage: Eukaryota; Metazoa; Chordata; Mammalia; Primates; Hominidae.
UGAGAAUUGGAUGAAAGGAGCAGGGAGAA